Molecule: non-coding RNA, 98 nt
Organism: Mycena rebaudengoi
Lineage: Eukaryota; Fungi; Basidiomycota; Agaricomycetes; Agaricales; Mycenaceae
Source: the annotation of a GenBank genome assembly
GACCCAGUGGUGUAAUGGUAACAUGUUUGUUUCAAAUAAGUAUUAUGUAUUGGCCAUGACUUGAGCAGAGGAUCCCUGUUUAAUUCAGGGCUGGGUCA